RNAcentral lists this long non-coding RNA (1472 nucleotides) under Numida meleagris (helmeted guineafowl). RNAcentral's name for it is "lncRNA (ENSNMEG00000014601.1)". The record is from RNAcentral. Lineage: Eukaryota; Metazoa; Chordata; Aves; Galliformes; Numididae.
GGGAGCUCGGGGCGAGCGGCCAGGGCCUGAGCCUCUGCUCCAACGCGGUUCUCAUAGAGCCGCGCCGUAAUUACCCAGAGCCGUAACUGUCUCCGAAAUUAUUCAUUAAAGUCAUUCUCGGCGAUCUCACGGCGCCCGGGCUUACAUUUACGGCCCUUGCACCGGCAGGGCGUGCCAACGCCUCUCGCCCCGCGCCCCGGCGGUGUGCUCUCAGUAGCGGGAGGGGGGGGGGGGGGGGGGGGCUCCCUCUCGCCCCGCUCGCGGUGUUUGGCUGCUCGGGGCUCGGCCGCUUUCCCCCUUUUGGAGGAGGCGCGCCGUGCAGCCCGGCAGACACCCUGGGAGCGAGGAGGGUAUUUUGGGGAGUUGCAGUGUUGUGCGGAAGAUCAUGUCUGUGCCCUGUGGUGCUGUCAGCAGUGACAGAUCCCAGACGCAGCCGCUACUGUAUGGCAGAUUGAGUUUCUCAGCAGAAAACUCUCCCUCCCUCCCUCCCUCCUGAACGUCUUCAAAAACCUUCUCCAGAUACUGCGGGUCACUCGGGCUCCAGCGGAGAGAGAAAAGGGGAAAAAGCCUUCCCGGUCUCCCACCUUCUCAUCCUCUCGCCGGCUCUUCCUGGGGCGCGGGGGGGGCCGUGCCCUACCCUCCUCCCGGCCCCUCCGCCCCCCCAGCCGGGGUGCUCUCAGCCCCCCGAUCGCCUCCAGCGCGCUCAGAGCCCGCAGCGGGUCGUCUUCUUCAGGCCCGCAUCUGGACUGGGGAGCGGAGAUGAUGGAGAGCAAGGAAUCAGCCACAAGCAGGCUGCUUCCCAGGCAAUACUGGACGGGUUGCCCCGUGCCUGCCAGCAGUGGCUCUAGGCAGUGCUGUCAGUAACACAGUGUUGUACGUAAAGCUGGGAGCACCGAGUCUCACACGGUUGUAUUUACUCAACAAAGCUCCCAUUUGCCUCUGGGAGAAUUCUGCCUAUGUAAGGACUUAAGAGCCAUUGCUAGGAGCUAAGGAAAAAGCAUUAUUAAUUUACUUCAUCACUGGCUUAUAGAAAGCCAACAGCUUUCUUCAAUCUUGUCAAAAUGAAGAGGAGAUGGCCUGAGGUACACGCAGGGUGAUUCUCAUACCAAAGGUGAAAAAGGAGAAAUUGCUUUAAGGUAUAGUAACUUGCUGUAAAAACGUGAUCCGUGUUCCCUUCUAGCUUUGAAAGGAGACUUUAUAAACUCCGUGGCCUUAGAUUUGUCAAUAUCCUUAUACUUAUUUUUUUAAUUUGAAAGUUUGUGAGAAAAUAGAAUGGAACCCCUAACUUUUUUGUGUUCUCGAUUAUCACUUCAUUGUAUAAGUAUUUGCUUAAUGAAACAUACAGUAAAUAUUGCACUGUAAAAUCUGCUGCAAUGUACUCAGUAUCUUCUGGAAUUAAUAGAAAAAAAAUACAAGAAUGCAGAAAAGGCACUAAUUUUUAUUUUAUCUAAUAAAAAUGUUACUUGACUGCA